UGGGGAAUCUUGCGCAAUGGCCGAAAGGCUGACGCAGCGACGCCGCGUGUGGGAUGACGGUCUUCGGAUUGUAAACCACUGUCGGGAGGGACGAAGUUCUGACGGUACCUCCAAAGGAAGCACCGGCUAACUCUGUGCCAGCAGCCGCGGUAAUACAGAGGGUGCGAGCGUUGUCCGGAAUCACUGGGCGUAAAGGGCGCGUAGGCGGCCUGGUAAGUCGGGGGUGAAACGCUGCGGCUCAACCGCAGCACUGCCUUCGAGACUGUCAGGCUGGAGCACGGUAGAGGCUGGUGGAAUUCCCGGUGUAGCGGUGGAAUGCGUAGAGAUCGGGAAGAACAUCGGUGGCGAAGGCGGCCAGCUGGGCCGUUGCUGACGCUGAGGCGCGACAGCGUGGGGAGCAAACA
RNAcentral lists this ribosomal RNA (404 nucleotides) under uncultured bacterium. RNAcentral describes it as "bacterial SSU rRNA". It matches the Rfam family "Bacterial small subunit ribosomal RNA", at positions 355 to 774 of the family's 1533-position model. The record is from RNAcentral.